Molecule: ribosomal RNA, 253 nt
Filed under: uncultured bacterium
Lineage: Bacteria
Description: partial 16S ribosomal RNA
Rfam family: Bacterial small subunit ribosomal RNA
Source: RNAcentral
UACGAGUGCCUCGAGCGUUAUCCGGAAUUAUUGGGCGUAAAGGGUGUGUAGGUGGUUUUGUUAGUCUUCUGUUAAAUUCUUCGGCUUAACCGGGGGUCAGCAGGGGAAACGGCAAGACUAGAGGAUGCGAGGGGUGAAUGGAACUCAUAGUGUAGGGGUGAAAUCCGUUGAUAUUAUGGGGAACACCAAAAGCGAAGGCAGUUCACUGGCGCAUUCCUGACACUGAAACACGAAAGCGUGGGUAGCGAAUGGG